UACGUAGGUGGCAAGCGUUAUCCGGAAUUAUUGGGCGUAAAGAGCGCGCAGGUGGUUGAUUAAGUCUGAUGUGAAAGCCCACGGCUUAACCGUGGAGGGUCAUUGGAAACUGGUCGACUUGAGUGCAGAAGAGGGAAGUGGAAUUCCAUGUGUAGCGGUGAAAUGCGUAGAGAUAUGGAGGAACACCAGUGGCGAAGGCGGCUUCCUGGUCUGUAACUGACACUGAGGCGCGAGAGCGUGGGGAGCAAACAGGAUUAGAUA
RNAcentral lists this ribosomal RNA (261 nucleotides) under uncultured prokaryote. Its description in RNAcentral is "partial 16S ribosomal RNA". It matches the Rfam family "Bacterial small subunit ribosomal RNA", at positions 524 to 784 of the family's 1533-position model. The record is from RNAcentral.